GAUGAACGCUGGCGGCGUGCCUAAUACAUGCAAGUCGAGCGAACAGACGAGGAGCUUGCUCCUCUGACGUUAGCGGCGGACGGGUGAGUAACACGUGGAUAACCUACCUAUAAGACUGGGAUAACUUCGGGAAACCGGAGCUAAUACCGGAUAAUAUAUUGAACCGCAUGGUUCAAUAGUGAAAGACGGUUUUGCUGUCACUUAUAGAUGGAUCCGCGCCGCAUUAGCUAGUUGGUAAGGUAACGGCUUACCAAGGCAACGAUGCGUAGCCGACCUGAGAGGGUGAUCGGCCACACUGGAACUGAGACACGGUCCAGACUCCUACGGGAGGCAGCAGUAGGGAAUCUUCCGCAAUGGGCGAAAGCUUGACGGAGCAACGCCGCGUGAGUGAUGAAGGUCUUCGGAUCGUAAAACUCUGUUAUUAGGGAAGAACAAAUGUGUAAGUAACUAUGCACGUCUUGACAGCACCUAAUCAGAAAGCCACGGCUAACUACGUG
Molecule: ribosomal RNA, 497 nt
Filed under: uncultured bacterium
Lineage: Bacteria
Description: partial 16S ribosomal RNA
Rfam family: Bacterial small subunit ribosomal RNA
Source: RNAcentral